Ahaetulla prasina is the source of this 337-nucleotide long non-coding RNA. RefSeq lists it as uncharacterized. Lineage: Eukaryota; Metazoa; Chordata; Lepidosauria; Squamata; Colubridae. The transcript has 3 exons. The record is from RefSeq and is a predicted model, not a curated record.
AAAGCCAUGAGGUCGAUCAGUAAUCAGAGAUCCUCAGGAGACUUGAAUAAGCCACACUCUCCAUGCUGAAUAUCCUUCCUAGAAUUCGCUCAUCUGUCAUGUUGAUCUCCGGGAUGUAAAGUGGGGUACAAAAUCAUUGUCAUAGUGUUCUAAGGAAUGUUCCCUGGAAAAUAGGUGUCUAAGCAUCUUCCAAAUAGUAUCCGUUGGUCGUGGAGCCAAGUAAUCCAUGUGUGGAGUAUCGACAUCCUGAUCGUAAUUCCAUCGGAAGCCAUCAAAGGAAAUCAGGAGGAGCUUGUGGACGCCUGCUGUCUUCUCCUUCUGGACAGCUGGAUAGCAG